UGAAGCAAUACAUCUGCUCAGGGCUGGGGCAGAGGAAGGGAGAAGUGUGAGGCCAUUGUCAAGGAAACCGCCCAGAAGCUCCUCUUCGCCUGGCAGAGGGCUCCCCCACCCCCAGCAGCCCAGGACGGGGGCGAGCGGCCAAGGAUGGGGGCUAGCAGCCAAGGACAGGGGCGCGCCGCACCUCUAAGGAGAUCACGGAUCUCUGCAGGCUCCUUCCAAUAAACCACUCCCCAGGCACUAAGGCACUCAAGACCUCCGGCAGGCAUGGAUUUCUUCUUUUUCACUACUUCCUCUCCCGAUGAAAUGAGUAAGAGAGCACAAGCAGGGGGUGCGGCAGAGGGAGAGGGAGAAGCAGGCUCCCCACUGAGCAGGGAGCCGAUGUGGAACCCGAUGCGGGGCUGUCCUGGGAUCCUGACCUGAGCUGAAGGCAGAAGCUUAACCAACUGAGCCACCCAUUCUUACCCUCAUUGAAAAACUCAUUGAAAUUUUCUUGUAAGACUCAUAAAAUCUCAUAUCAAAAAUAAGUCUAUAUUCUCUAAAAUAACUUAGAAAUUUACAUUUUACUGUAAACCAAAUUCUUCUUAUAAACCUAAUCUGUGCCAAUCCAAUGCCUUUAUAAAUGAAGCAGAAAAUAUGUUUAAUUCACAAGUUUACUAUUUUUUAGAAGUGAGAUAUCAUCAUUAAACGAAUAUUAAUUUAAGAAAAAGGAUUAUAGAAGGGUUUUAAGAGAAAAAAUUAUCUCUUUCACCAAAAGAGGGGACAGAAACUGGCUGCUAGUUGUUUCCUUAAUCUUUCUGUUAAUUACAGUUCUAUAAAUGUAGUAAUAAAAAAAUUGAAACUGA
Ailuropoda melanoleuca (giant panda) is the source of this 842-nucleotide long non-coding RNA. RefSeq lists it as uncharacterized. NCBI's taxonomy places the organism in Eukaryota, Metazoa, Chordata, Mammalia, Carnivora, Ursidae. The record is from RefSeq and is a predicted model, not a curated record. The transcript is spliced from 2 exons.